CGACAGCUGUUCCUCUCUCUGUUCCAAGUUAUGAGCUUUGGGAUUUUAGGCUGUCGUAGAUAAAAUAUGACCUAUCUUCACUCAGGGGGUGCUCUGACAGGUUGGCUGUCUUUACAUGCCUUCUGAAUUUUGCGGGGUUAGACAAAU
Bombina bombina (fire-bellied toad) is the source of this 147-nucleotide small nucleolar RNA. RefSeq annotates it as small nucleolar RNA SNORA79. The record is from RefSeq and is a predicted model, not a curated record. Lineage: Eukaryota; Metazoa; Chordata; Amphibia; Anura; Bombinatoridae. The transcript has a single exon.